UUGGAGGGCAAGUCUGGUGCCAGCAGCCGCGGUAAUUCCAGCUCCAAUAGCGUAUAUUAAAGUUGUUGCAGUUAAAAAGCUCGUAGUUGGAUUUCGGGAUCAAUAUAUCGGUCGUGCCUUGGUACGUACUGGCAUCAUUGGUUUCUCCUUUCUGACGAACCAUGAUGUCAUUAAUUUGGUGUUAUGGGAAGUUAGGACUGUUACUUUGAAAAAAUUAGAGUGUUUAAAGCAGGCUUUAGCUUGAAUACAUUAGCAUGGAAUAAUGAAAUAGGACGUUCGAACCUAUUUUGUUGGUUUCUAGGAUCAACGUAAUGAUUAAUAGGGAUAGUUGGGGGCAUUAGUAUUCAAUUGUCAGAGGUGGAAUUCUUGGAUUUAUUGAAGACUAACUACUGCGAAAGCAUUUGCCAAGGAUGUUUUCAUUAAUCAAGAACGAAAGUUAGGGGAUCGAAGACGAUCAGAUACCGUCGUAGUCUUAACCAUAAACUAUGCCGACUAGGGAUCGGAUGAUGUUAAUUUUUUAAUGACUCAUUCGGCGCCUUACGGGAAACCAAAGUGUUUGGGUUC
RNAcentral lists this ribosomal RNA (564 nucleotides) under uncultured Glomeromycotina. RNAcentral's name for it is "SSU rRNA". It matches the Rfam family "Eukaryotic small subunit ribosomal RNA", at positions 548 to 1114 of the family's 1831-position model. Lineage: Eukaryota; Fungi; Glomeromycota. The record is from RNAcentral.